GACGUAGGGCGCGAGCGUUGUCCGGAAUUAUUGGGCGUAAAGAGCUCGUAGGCGGUUUGUCGCGUCUGCUGUGAAAUCCCGAGGCUCAACCUCGGGCUUGCAGUGGGUACGGGCAGACUAGAGUGCGGUAGGGGAGACUGGAAUUCCUGGUGUAGCGGUGGAAUGCGCAGAUAUCAGGAGGAACACCGGUGGCGAAGGCGGGUCUCUGGGCCGAUACUGACGCUGAGGAGCGAAAGCGUGGGGAGCGAACAGG
RNAcentral lists this ribosomal RNA (253 nucleotides) under uncultured bacterium. RNAcentral's name for it is "partial 16S ribosomal RNA". It matches the Rfam family "Bacterial small subunit ribosomal RNA", at positions 524 to 776 of the family's 1533-position model. The record is from RNAcentral.